AAUAGAAAUUAACGAUUUAAUAAACAAAUAAAGUCUAAGUUUGAAUAGGUGGAGCAACUUUAUAGAUGUCGUGAAAAAAAACACGUGACACACACGUGAGUUUAAGUAGGAAAGCCGAAGAUUCAUAAAAACAGCAUUUGUGAAAUUGACUAAACCGCAUGUAAUGGACUGUAAAGACUGCGAGGGCAGUGUAAUGUAGCAACAGAGCUUCAAAAGCACCGGUCAUCUCUGACCUCUUCCCCUCCAAGAUGACAUCCAAUUCAAAGAAACCAAAAGACACUGAGCUGCACAGUGUGUCUACCCUAAAGCCACUGUGUGUAUUUGCGUGUUGUGCGUGUUCUCCUGGAAAGCUGCUGCCAAUCCAAGGAAUUAGCUGAACUUCCUUUAAACUUCAUUUGCAUAAAGGCUUAGAGAGUCUCGACCAUCUGCUUAAAACAACCACUUUGUUUUCUUGUCUAAGGUGUAUACUUUUGAGAUACCAUCUAGCAGAUCUAAUUAAAAAAAGAAGAAAGCCAAGCGUGUGAUAAUCUAGCACAAAUAAAUUUACUGUAGUGUUGCCGUUUCUUUCCUCCAGAACACCGACCCGCAUCUAGAACAAACAAAACUGUUGUGAAAGCCUUUCUUUUAGUUUCAGUGUUGCUUAAAAUUUUGCUUGCAAAUGCUUUCAGAGAUCUUUGGCACUUUCACUGAUAUGUCAGACACAGUGCACAGUUAAUAUGCUUUGUAGAGAUGUGGCUGUAUGUGUGUUUGCCUUUGUGUGUUUCUCGGUGCCAUUUCUGCCUGUGCAAUUUUCUCCCUCGAGACAGACCAGGAGAGAACUGAAAUUCUCAGGUAAAAAUUAUUUUGCUGUGGACCAUAAAUAUUUGAAAUCACUAAGGGAUGACAGAAGGAUGGCAACUAGUAACCUGAAAAUGUGGCUGUGGCGAAAACACGCCUUUUUCUUGAGAAUGAUCUGCAAAUGCCAGCUGAACCCACUCUAAAACUCGUGUUUCUUAAAAUGGUUAAUGAAGGUCAUGCCAGUUGCAGAGUGCUGGUUUACUACCAGGUGUUUGUGCUUGUGCAGCAGGAUAUGGUAUUUUCACUGAUUAUUGCUGCAUAGAAAGAACUAAGUGAGGAACACAGUGCCAUCCAGUGUGGUGAAUGGGAAAAUCCUCUUAUUAGAAAAAUGACUUAUUACGGCAGGAUCAAGGAGAUAUUGCACGUAAAUUAAAUAUAGCAAUUAGCAAACUUAAUACGACUUUAUUUAAACUGUAAUGCUUUUCAUUUGAAAGUAAUGUUUGCUGAUAUUAUUUAGCCCCAACAAUCAGACACAGGCAGCUGGCAUCACUGCAACAUCUGGGCUCCCAGAUGUAACAAAAUAUUGACAGUGCCAGCGGCGCUGGUUAUCCCUCUACUUCAUGCUAUUGGAAGCAGAUCUGAAAUCAUCACUGAUGGUAAGUGUUAAACUGAAGUAAUUUCAUGUUUUAAUCACAGCUCACCACACUUCUUUGUUGGAGUUCCCCGCACAAUGAAUUAGUAGUCAUAAAAGUCAGAUGGCAUAAUGUUGGCUUCUGAUACAUUACAAUGAUGUGGCAGAUUUUUACGGUUAGGAUUAGGACUCAGGAGCUCUACGCCAACCGAUGAUCAGCUCACAAAAAUUUCACACACGUCCUCUAAGCCUGACCCACAGCUGUAAAUCUCAAAGACAACAGUGAUAUUGUUAAGUUUUUAUUGUCAACAUUUGUCAAAAAUCAUCAUCAUAAAGCAAAGAUCAUAAAAUGAUGUCUAUAUAUACAUAUAUUAGAUACAUUCUAAAAUAUGGCCAGAGGUUCUCUAUUGAGCUGUUACAGAUUGUAUAGGUAACCAAACUUUUUCUAACUAAAACUAAUCCAGAUUGCACACAACACAAAACCACUGGUUUAGACAUUCUGCUGAAACUAUGGUAGAUUUUAUUACCUUCUGGGAAAUAUCCAACAAAAAUCUACAGAUUUAAUUGUUUACAUUUUUGGGUUGUCCUCUUUAGUGCACAACAGCAUCUGUUCUAAUUAACUCUGGGCAGCUUGUACCCUUAGCGAUUUGUUGUAAUCAUUUUAGUGAGUCCUGUGAGAGAUUUUAGUCAUAAUAUGAAGAGUUUCCAAAAAGAAAAGGAUUUUGCUGCUAAGGGUCAACUUCAAGCCAAUUAUUAGUGCUUCAUAAGCAGCACUGGGUAGGUAGGUCUGAGGAAGAUUCUACUGAUUUAUGAAACUUACUAACUUGCUGUUGUAUCCAAAGUUAAUUAAGAAGAUCAGUAAGUUUCAGUGGGAAGUUGCUGGCCUUUCUAUACACAACAACUGGAAGCAAAGGUGGAACAACAUGUUUUCCAACAACUAUAAAGUUUUCUGAAGGAGUUUGCAGGAGCUGGGUCUAACCAGCAACCACUAGGCAAGCAAAGUGCAUGCACCUUUACUCUAGAUGAUUAAAUAUUCUCUUCUAAGUUUGAGCAAACGGAUGGAAAACAAGCAUCCUGGAAAUCAAUCUUUGCAGUGUUUUUCAAAAACAUCUGUUGUCAAAAUCCAUUAUAUUUUCUUAUGUGACUACCCGCAUCUCAACAUGAAAACAGGACAUAACUGGAUAUAGAGUGCAGUGUAGAUUAAGGCCCCUAGGCAGAUCACCAGAGAAGCACUUCUGAGUUUACAUCAGUUACAUUAGAAAGAUCCAUCCAAUACUUUAAAUCUCCUCCGACUUAGGUUUCUUACCAUCCCCUGCUGUGAAUAAAUCAUAAAUCAUUUUUCUGCCGACAUUCUUUAUUUCUAAAGAUGUCUGAACUUCUUUGUGUACCACGUAUUGUAUAUGUCUCAAUGUUUGCAGUGAGCCUGGUUUUGGUGUUCUUUGCAUUUACAUUCUCAGCCAGCCCACUUAUUUUAAGGUAUUUCAUGUUUUUUUUUUUUAAUAAAAUCAAUAAAUGUUUCAUUAAGACAAAUGAAAGCGAUACUGGUACCAACUAUGUGCUGUCUUUAAAGUCAGUGGUGCGUCACCUUUCCUUAGAAUGACUCAAUGAACGGACUAUUCUUGUUGAAUGUGUUAAAGUCAGAGCCUAACUCACCAAAUCAUUUAAAAGCUCUACGCAAAUGCUGAGAGGUUUUACAUGUCAGACUUUAAUAAACAUGGACAAUGCUAGCUGUAUAGCCCUGACCAAACCAAAUGUGUUUCUGUACAUAGGUAAAUGUUUUUGACAUUUACCUACAUUUACCUAUGUAUAUGACAUUGUUUUUGACACUGACUUGUCAUUAUCUAUGUUUUUUUUAAAACUCUUGUUAAUUUCGUUCUUUAUUCUGGACAGAUCUGCCGAUAUUUUGAUCACCAAAGUGUUCUAUCUAUUAACAAACUCUCUGGGUAGGCUAAGCAACCCAGUAACAGCAAACAGUGAGAGGUGCUUACAUGCUUGGCAGUAACACCCUGUGUUGUGACCGGUUGGUAUGGCUGCCCUCAAAAAUAUAUGGUUGCAUAUUGAACAAAGCCUGACUGAAAGAACCGUGACAGCAUCUCUUGUCUCCCCAUUUGUGAAAUUACAAAAAAAUGACACAUUUUUCACACAGCAUGUGUCGUUUGAUGUUGGCAUUUUUGAAAGACAAAACAUCAAAGAAACAUCUCUUUCUAAAGUGUUCACUUCUUCCCAAUUUCAAAAGGAAAAAAUCAAGCAAAAAAAAAAAA
Long non-coding RNA from Oreochromis niloticus (Nile tilapia), 3669 nucleotides. RefSeq lists it as uncharacterized. The record is from RefSeq and is a predicted model, not a curated record. The transcript is spliced from 3 exons. NCBI's taxonomy places the organism in Eukaryota, Metazoa, Chordata, Actinopteri, Cichliformes, Cichlidae.